GGCUGCCUUUUCAUCAGAUCAGGUGACCCCUCAGAAAUCAAAGACUGAUGUGGAUGAUCAAGCUACAGCAAGGAACCAAGAUCUUGGUAACCUCAUCAAAGUAAAUCCAAGUUCUUUCACAAGUGAUAAGGAAGGAAAAGACCUUGAGGAUUUUACUGGAAUAAAUACUGCUGGUCAGAAAAAUAAGAG
Long non-coding RNA from Harpia harpyja (harpy eagle), 189 nucleotides. RefSeq lists it as uncharacterized. The record is from RefSeq and is a predicted model, not a curated record. The transcript has 3 exons. NCBI's taxonomy places the organism in Eukaryota, Metazoa, Chordata, Aves, Accipitriformes, Accipitridae.